RNAcentral lists this ribosomal RNA (324 nucleotides) under uncultured eukaryote. Its description in RNAcentral is "partial 18S ribosomal RNA". It matches the Rfam family "Eukaryotic small subunit ribosomal RNA", at positions 1470 to 1796 of the family's 1831-position model. The record is from RNAcentral.
CCCUUAGAUGUCCUGGGCUGCACGCGCGCUAGACUGAUGUGUCCAGUAAGCACCUAACCUAUUCCGAGAGGAGCGGGUAACCUUAGCAAAGCACAUCGUGAUGGGGAUAGAUUAUUGCAAUUAUUAGUCUUGAACGAGGAAUUCCUAGUAAGCACAAGUCAUCAGCUUGUGUUGAUUACGUCCCUGCCCUUUGUACACACCGCCCGUCGCUCCUACCGAUUGAAUGUUCCGGUGAGCUCUUCGGACUGCGCGGUCUGCAGUUUCUGCGUUCCGUGCGGAAAGUUGUGCAAACCUUAACAUUUAGAGGAAGGAGAAGUCGUAACA